Non-coding RNA from Osmia lignaria (orchard mason bee), 691 nucleotides. NCBI's taxonomy places the organism in Eukaryota, Metazoa, Arthropoda, Insecta, Hymenoptera, Megachilidae. The record is from RefSeq and is a predicted model, not a curated record.
UCACGAUGUCAAUUUUACGAUAUCUUGCUAAAACAAGCUUUAUUCAUUGGCCAAUUCCUAUGGAACCGGGAAAUAAGCAGCUGUUAUGAAAAUUUACAACGUCAUUAUUAAUAAAGAGACUUUUCAUUGUACAUACAUACCUUUUGUUUCAUAAUUAACACAUUACCAACGGGGCAUUUUUAAGGUAUAUUUCAAUAAAACGAGAAUUCUCGUUUCCCGUCGGUAAUGUGUUCACAGGAAAUCCCUGGAAAAAUCGUGAGAGAAUCCAUCCCUGGAACAGAAGACAAUGGACCUUGUUCGUGCCCUUGUAAAAUUGUAUAAAUUGAUCCGAGAUUAAGGUGGGCAACUAAUGAACUGGCUUGUUCUGAUGUAAGGGUAUCAAUUUGUGCAUCAGAUUGAGCCUAAAAGAUACGUGCCAUCUCGCUAAUUAAUAAAACGCAUUAAAAACAUUUUAUAAUGAAACAAAUGAAGUACCUGCAGCCUUUCUAGUCGUUGAUCCAUGUAUUCAUACAAUGCUAGAGUAGACUGUAUUUGAUGCAUACAAUUUAAAAGAUAUACAGCCAUGUCCACCGUAGGUAAUCUUGAUGCUGUUUCAUUAAUUUCUUGCAAAAGUGGAUCAAUAAUGCACGAUACUAUCUACAAAUAAUUUAGUUCAUAAUUUAUCUCAAAUUAUAUUGAUUUUAUAAAAUAA